UGUCGGUAGACUAGACGUAGCAUGACUCUGUAUUAUUUAUUCAUGUUUUUUAAUCCAAUACUUUUACAGGUACACAAGAUGGGUAACCGGGGGGAAAUUGGCAAACGUGGCACGCGAAAGCACAAAAUGAGAGGGAAAGUGCAAAAUGAAACCGAGAAGGAAGAAAGCAACGAAAUUUUUGCUGGGGAGAGCUGGAUCGCCUGGAAAACAAUCCAAUCCAACAGAAGAAAGCCACCGAAUCUGAGCCGGUGGUAGUCUUUGUCAGUGGCCGAAGCUGCGCCAGUGGUCGUCGUCAUGUCGUCGUGGUGGUUAAGCUGUUUAUAAGCAGGGAGAUGAAGGAGAUAAACCAACUGUGAAGACUUGUUGGAAUUUAUUUGCCACUUCAGAGAUAGAUAUGACCAAUAUUAGUGGCAUGCAGCCUAUUCCAGACAAUCCAACAUUUGACAUUAGUGGAACCUAGCUCUGAGAAAUAAUGACCAAGAGUCAAGAAAAUAUACAAUUUGGAUGAAUUACAAUUGGUGCAACUUGGAUUCGUGGACAGACAACCGGCACAAUGAAGUUUGUGUAUUGAAUGUAAUUCAUGAUAGCAGGUAGAUCUGUGUUUUUUUGUUUUAUGUAUUUGGAACAAAUGACUAUGAAGACAAUGCAUUGGAUGGCUUUUUAUUUUUGGAUGGUAUGAAAUUUUUGGAUGGAUAGUUUUAUUUUUGGAUGGUAUGAAGUUUUUGAAUGGAUAGUUUUUUAUUUUUUGAUGGUAUGAAGUUUUUGGAUGGGCUUUUUUUUUUUUUUGAUGGUAUGAAAGUUUUGGAUGAUGGAUGUGGAAUCAUUAAUUUAGUGGUCAAUGAAUAUUUGUUGUAGGUGUAUGAUAGCUUAUUCGGUGAGAAGGCUGGUGCUUUGUGACAGCUUCUUCAUCUGCACCUCUUGUAUUGUGCUUAUUUUCUUAGUGUUUAUGACAGCUUAUUCCAGUUCCUUGUCAUCACUACUAAUGGCAGGGGAACCAAAUCCAUGUUCCGGCACCCAUUGCUCAAGCUCUUAAAUUGUCAAUGCAUUGAUCCAUCAAAAAAUAAAGAAUGAAAAAGAACUCAGCUAGCUACCACAUAGCAUCAUUUUCAUUUGUCAGAAUUGUUGAUUGGAAUACAGGACUGAAUAUUGGUUGAUUAAUUAUAUGUCUUGAAUGAUUCAUUUGCUGGAUAUUGAGGGAAUGUUGAAUUUGUGUUAUUAAUUGAACAAUUUGUGGAACUUUGGACAUCGCAUC
Long non-coding RNA from Carya illinoinensis, 1252 nucleotides. RefSeq lists it as uncharacterized. The record is from RefSeq and is a predicted model, not a curated record. Lineage: Eukaryota; Viridiplantae; Streptophyta; Magnoliopsida; Fagales; Juglandaceae. The transcript has 4 exons.